RNAcentral lists this ribosomal RNA (484 nucleotides) under uncultured bacterium. RNAcentral's name for it is "partial 16S ribosomal RNA". It matches the Rfam family "Bacterial small subunit ribosomal RNA", at positions 30 to 507 of the family's 1533-position model. The record is from RNAcentral.
AUUGAACGCUGGCGGCAGGCCUAACACAUGCCAGUCGAGCGGAUGAAGGGAGCUUGCUCCUGGAUUCAGCGGCGGACGGGUGAGUAAUGCCUAGGAAUCUGCCUGGUAGUGGGGGAUAACGUCCGGAAACGGGCGCUAAUACCGCAUACGUCCUGAGGGAGAAAGUGGGGGAUCUUCGGACCUCACGCUAUCAGAUGACCCUAGGUCGGAUUAGCUAGUUGGUGGGGUAAAGGCCUACCAAGGCGACGAUCCGUAACUGGUCUGAGAGGAUGAUCAGUCACACUGGAACUGAGACACGGUCCAGACUCCUACGGGAGGCAGCAGUGGGGAAUAUUGGACAAUGGGCGAAAGCCUGAUCCAGCCAUGCCGCGUGUGUGAAGAAGGUCUUCGGAUUGUAAAGCACUUUAAGUUGGGAGGAAGGGCAGUAAGUUAAUACCUUGCUGUUUUGACGUUACCAACAGAAUAAGCACCGGCUAACUUCGUG